Molecule: long non-coding RNA, 1991 nt
Filed under: Sorghum bicolor (sorghum)
Lineage: Eukaryota; Viridiplantae; Streptophyta; Magnoliopsida; Poales; Poaceae
Description: long non-coding RNA (SBIC_LNC003937)
Source: RNAcentral
UGCCUCUGUUUGAGUCUCAUCCAACUACGCACAUGCUUAUAUAACAACACCAAGGAAGCUGCUGCCGCGCCUGUCCUGUAUGUAACAACACCAGCAAAAGGUGGACGUCACCAGAAGGUCAUGUUAGUGGCAGUGUCACGAAGGGCACAACACCGCAUGGAAAUGCUUGACCUCCGCGAGGUCUUGUUAAACCAACUGGGGAUGAGGCUAUUAAAUUGUACUUGGAGAGGUACAAAGGAACACCUCCUCCACACGUGACUGCAGCCCUAGCAGCACGCCAUGUUAGCUAGAGCUGAACAUUAGAUAAAAGAGAGUAUUAGGCAUUAGAAACCCCCCCCCCCCCCCAUUGCCUCUCUAGUUGCGAGUAAUUCCUUAGGCUUCACACCUUAUCCGGUAAUCCUUGCCAAAUAAGGUUUUAAGUUGUACUGCGUCUCUCACGUUCCUUCUUAUUAAUACUAGUAAACAUGCCCGUGCGUUGCAACGGGAGAAAAAAAUAUCAAAUGUUUAUAAAAAGCAGUGAUCAAAAUGAUACAUAUCUAUUUAUGUUGCACAAAAUUUUAAAGCUACGGUUUAUUUUAAGAUGAGUAUUACAUCUACAAUAUAAGUUAAUGUUGACAAUAAUAUGAUAUUGUUCUUUUAAUCCAAUAUCAAAUUUAAAAUAUUUUUUGAUAUAUUUUCUCCAAUAAAAUAUUUAGUUGUAAAUAUAUUAGAAUUUUAAUUUCUUAUUUUCUUAAUGUACAUAUGUUGGUACAAUAAUCAGAAAAGCAUAGGUAGAGAAAACUUCCACUGAGCAACGGACGGUUCCAUAAUAGAGAAAAUUGAACGUGUUUUUUUUUUGGAAUUAUAGGCAUGGACUAUUAGAAUGUUGCUAAAAUUAGACACACCACACGUAAUGACACCAUAUAGAAAAAAAAUCAUUACUUCUAAGCUGAGUCUUUGUUUAGUUACCAAAAAAUUUGUAAAAUUUUUCAGAUUUUCUGACACAUCGAAUCUUGCGGCAUAUGCAUAGAGCAUUAAAUAUAGAUUAAAAAAUAACUAAUUGUAUAGUUUGACUGUAAUUUGCGAGACGAAUUUUUUAAGUGUAGUUAAUAUGAUUGCAAACGAAGUGUUACAGUAUCCAUUUUUGUUAAGAAAUUUUAAAACUAAAUAAGGCCCAAACCAAGAGAAGAGCUUCAUAAAGCCGAAGAGGAGAUCAAUCAAGGGGAGAGAAUACGUACGUGGCACCUCCUGCUCCACAUCUUUCUGCUGCAUAUAUAUAUCCAAACGCAUGUCCUUUGGUCCGUCAUCCGCUCCGCCACGCGCUUGGAUUCAGGCAAGUAGGUGACCUCGGCGCCCCCUUCGCUAGCCCACGAGCAUGUAGAUCCGGAGUUGUGGCCGAGCCGUUUGGAGUUACCGGUGUUUGAUGGUGGCGUCAUUAGGCCGGUCGGUGGCGCACGAGAGCCCAACACAGGGGAGUUUCCUUCGGUGCAUCAUCUCCACCCGCAUCCUCUAGCGCGCUUCCUCUCUCUCUCGAUCUGAUGUUGGCGCGCCACCUCCAUCCGCAUCCUUUAGCGCGCCUCCUCCCUCUCGAUCUGAUGUUGUUGUGGCAUGAUUACGGAUUUUUCCUUCCUUCCCUUCUUUGAACUGUCAUUUUUCGAUUUCGAAUGGUUAUACAGUUCGAUUCAAUCUACUGCCUAAAUGUGUUUAAUUUAUGGUCGAUUUUGGUAUGAAUUUUGGAUCCUUGUGCAAGAUUUGAAGAAUGUUGUUUUUUGUGAUGGAUUUUUAUGGUAGGGCUUGUGUAUGUUAGCAUAGUAUGUGUUCGAUUUAGAGCUCUUUUUUAUUCGAGUUGGAUUUUUUGGCCGAUUUCUUCUUUCCUUAUUUUUGUCUGAGGGCCGAGGAAGAGAUGUCAGACGAAAAUUAUGGCCAGACAAAAAUUUUAGCUGUGAUUUCGUUUUGGACUCGAUCUGAAAUUGGGCACCAAGUUAUUUUGUGUGCGUGUUGGAUUUGAUUUU